This 117-nucleotide ribosomal RNA is filed under the name Paramormyrops kingsleyae. The record is from RNAcentral. Lineage: Eukaryota; Metazoa; Chordata; Actinopteri; Osteoglossiformes; Mormyridae.
GCCAGCAGCCAUACCCCCUGCAGUUCAGACUUGGCAAUCCACCAGAAGCUAAACAGGUUUUGGUAUGGCCAAUUCUUCGAUGGCAGACCAACUAGGAAAGCUGUGUUGCUCCUGGAA